RNAcentral lists this transfer RNA (69 nucleotides) under Rattus norvegicus (Norway rat). It matches the Rfam family "tRNA". From Rfam's summary of the family: Transfer RNA (tRNA) molecules are approximately 80 nucleotides in length. Their secondary structure includes four short double-helical elements and three loops (D, anti-codon, and T loops). Further hydrogen bonds mediate the characteristic L-shaped molecular structure. tRNAs have two regions of fundamental functional importance: the anti-codon, which is responsible for specific mRNA codon recognition, and the 3' end, to which the tRNAs corresponding amino acid is attached (by aminoacyl-tRNA synthetases). tRNAs cope with the degeneracy of the genetic code in two manners: having more than one tRNA (with a specific anti-codon) for a particular amino acid; and 'wobble' base-pairing, i.e. permitting non-standard base-pairing at the 3rd anti-codon position. Lineage: Eukaryota; Metazoa; Chordata; Mammalia; Rodentia; Muridae. The record is from Rfam by way of RNAcentral.
GGGGAUUUAGCUCAGUGGUAGAGUGCUUGCCUAGCAAGCGCAAGGCCCUGGGUUCCAUCCCCAGCUCCG